RNAcentral lists this ribosomal RNA (491 nucleotides) under Palaemon pacificus. Its description in RNAcentral is "partial small subunit ribosomal RNA". The stretch from base 124 to 491 matches the Rfam family "Microsporidia small subunit ribosomal RNA", at positions 752 to 1266 of the family's 1311-position model. Lineage: Eukaryota; Metazoa; Arthropoda; Malacostraca; Decapoda; Palaemonidae. The record is from RNAcentral.
AGGUGAAACUUAUAUUUUUUUAGUGAUAUACAAAUUUUAUAAUUAAUUUGAAAGCUAUUGAAACUUAGAAAUAAACCAGGAUUAGAUACCCUGUUAUACUAAGAUUGUAAAUUUAUUUCGCUUGAGUAGUAAUAAGUUAUGAGCUCGAAACUUAAAGGAUUUGGCGGUAUUUAAGUCUAAUUAGAGGAACCUGCACUGUAAACGAUAUGCCACGAAUAAUCUUACUUUAUCUUGUAUUCAGCUUGUAUACCUCCAUUAUAAGUCAUUUUUUUAAGAAGCGUCUGUAAUAAAAUAAGUUUUAGCAUAUUAGGUCAAGGUGCAGUUAAUGGUAAAGUAGUUGUGGGUUACAAUAUUUAUGUAAAUAAAUGGAUAAAUAUAUGAAAGUAUAUUUUGAAAGUGGAUUUAAUUGUAUUCUUUAAAUAAUAAGUAAAGAUGAUAAUAGCUCUGAAAUAUGUACACAUCGCCCGUCGCUCUCAUUAUAAGGUGAGAUA